UACGUAGGGUGCGAGCGUUAAUCGGAAUUACUGGGCGUAAAGAGUGCGUAGGCGGUUCGUUAAGUCAGCUGUGAAAGCCCCGGGCUCAACCUGGGAAUUGCGAUGGAGACUGCAAGGCUUGAAUCUGGCAGAGGGGGGUAGAAUUCCACGUGUAGCAGUGAAAUGCGUAGAGAUGUGGAGGAACACCGAUGGCGAAGGCAAUCCCCUGGACCUGUACUGACGCUCAUGCACGAAAGGCGUGGGGAGCAAACAGGGAUU
Molecule: ribosomal RNA, 258 nt
Filed under: uncultured bacterium
Lineage: Bacteria
Description: partial 16S ribosomal RNA
Rfam family: Bacterial small subunit ribosomal RNA
Source: RNAcentral